This 72-nucleotide transfer RNA is filed under the name Camelus bactrianus (Bactrian camel). It matches the Rfam family "tRNA". Rfam says of the family: Transfer RNA (tRNA) molecules are approximately 80 nucleotides in length. Their secondary structure includes four short double-helical elements and three loops (D, anti-codon, and T loops). Lineage: Eukaryota; Metazoa; Chordata; Mammalia; Artiodactyla; Camelidae. RNAcentral also lists the same sequence under 2 other names. The record is from Rfam by way of RNAcentral.
GAGGUUAUAGCUCAGUGGUGGAGUGCAUGCCUAGCACGCAUGAGGUCCUGGGUUCUAUCCCCUUCUACCUCC